This 451-nucleotide ribosomal RNA is filed under the name uncultured bacterium. RNAcentral's name for it is "bacterial SSU rRNA". It matches the Rfam family "Bacterial small subunit ribosomal RNA", at positions 29 to 524 of the family's 1533-position model. The record is from RNAcentral.
AGCGAACGCUGGCGGCAGGCUUAACACAUGCAAGUCGAGCGGGCACUUCGGUGUCAGCGGCAGACGGGUGAGUAACACGUGGGAACGUGCCCUUCGGUUCGGAAUAACUCAGGGAAACUUGAGCUAAUACCGGAUACGCCCUUUUGGGAAAGGUUUACUGCCGAAGGAUCGGCCCGCGUCUGAUUAGCUAGUUGGUGGGGUAAGUGGCCUACCAAGGCGACGAUCAGUAGCUGGUCUGAGGGGANGAUCAGCCACACUGGGACUGAGACACGGCCCAGACUCCUACGGGAGGCAGCAGUGGGGAAGUAUUGGACAAUGGGCGGCAAGCCUGAUCCAGCCAUGCCGCGUGAGUGAUGAAGGCCUUAGGGUUGUAAAGCUCUUUCGACGGGACGAUAAUGACGGUACCCGUAGAAGAAGCCCCGGCUAACUUCGUGCCAGCAGCCGCCGUAAU